RNAcentral lists this long non-coding RNA (1169 nucleotides) under Medicago truncatula (barrel medic). Its description in RNAcentral is "long non-coding RNA (MTRU_LNC006721)". Lineage: Eukaryota; Viridiplantae; Streptophyta; Magnoliopsida; Fabales; Fabaceae. The record is from RNAcentral.
UGGCUGAACUGGGGUGGCAAGGAGGAGCCACCGCCACCCAUUAUUUACAGGAAAUUACUAUUAUACCCUUCAGUAAUAUGAGUAUUUCCAAUUCUACUUCAUUUUCCUUUUUCCCUUUCUCUUUCAUCAGAAACGCGAUUUUCUUUUUCUUCUCCCAGACCACCGUACCGCUCUCCAUUCACCACACCACCACCGCCGCGACCACUCUCAUUUCCUUCUCCAUCCAUCACCGUCGCAUCCUCCUCUAUUUUCUGUGUUGAUUCUUCAGUUUAGAGAGCUAUCUCCAUCUCUCUCCAUAAACCCUGAUUGUUGUAAAUUGUAAGGAAAUGUGAAUUUUAAUGUAAUUUCCUUCAAAUCUGAUUCUUCUUUAACGAUUGCAUGUUAUUUAGUUGAUUGCCAUGAGUUUUCCAUCUGUUGUUGUUAAACCUAGUUGAUUAGUGAUUACAUGUCUUGUUUGCUGUAUGAAAUGUUCUGUGAAAUGGGUCAUAAAUUUUUUUAUGAAAGUUUGUGUCUUUAUGCUAAAAUGGUGGUUGGAAAGUGAUUUAGUGUACAAUUUGUUUCAUGAGUUUUGCAUUUGAUUUAACUAUGUUAUGUUUUUGUUUUAGUACUAUGUUGUGUUUUUCAAUGUUCUUGGUUUAGGAACAAUAACAAAUGCUGUUUAUUCAAAGCAGUUUGAUGAAAAACCUCUUUUUUCCUUUGCAUUGAAUCAAAGCAUGUUGUUUUGGGUAACAAAAGAGGGUUUUCUAAUGCAUGAAUGUUUAUUCAGAGGUAAAUUGUUAGUGAAAGCAAACCAAGUCUCAUUGUUUCUGCAAAUAAUGAAAAUAGCACCGCUCCUGCUAGCAAGUAAGUAGGGUGGUGUGAAUUGGCAUUAGAGUUUACCGCAAGGUUUUAAAUUUAGGACAUGUUACAAUUUUUGAUACUGCUAAACAAAUGUUGUUGAUGUAGCCUGAAUCGUAGUUACUUACAAAUGCGGCGAUAUCAAAAGCCAUGAUGUCGUAGCUCAUAUUGCGGUUAAAUAAUGGCUGCGUUUCAAUUUUUUUAUUUUGAUGGCAGGAUGGCGGCCACCCCAAAUAUUUUUGUCUGACUCUGCCACUGGGCCUAAGAGACAACUAAACUUACAAUACAUAAUCAAACUUCAUUAUAUCAUCAUCCCCCUUAUUAAAAUAGUC